This 301-nucleotide ribosomal RNA is filed under the name Bacillus sp. (in: firmicutes). RNAcentral describes it as "bacterial SSU rRNA". It matches the Rfam family "Bacterial small subunit ribosomal RNA", at positions 1018 to 1320 of the family's 1533-position model. Lineage: Bacteria; Bacillati; Bacillota; Bacilli; Caryophanales; Bacillaceae. The record is from RNAcentral.
CUUCGGGGGCAGAGUGACAGGUGGUGCAUGGUUGUCGUCAGCUCGUGUCGUGAGAUGUUGGGUUAAGUCCCGCAACGAGCGCAACCCUUGAUCUUAGUUGCCAGCAUUCAGUUGGGCACUCUAAGGUGACUGCCGGUGACAAACCGGAGGAAGGUGGGGAUGACGUCAAAUCAUCAUGCCCCUUAUGACCUGGGCUACACACGUGCUACAAUGGACAGAACAAAGGGCAGCGAAACCGCGAGGUUAAGCCAAUCCCACAAAUCUGUUCUCAGUUCGGAUCGCAGUCUGCAACUCGACUGCG